AGUGAACGCUGGCGGUAGGCCUAACACAUGCAAGUCGAACGGCAGCACAGUAAGAGCUUGCUCUUACGGGUGGCGAGUGGCGGACGGGUGAGGAAUACAUCGGACUCUACUUUUUCGUGGGGGAUAACGUAGGGAAACUUACGCUAAUACCGCAUACGACCUACGGGUGAAAGCAGGGGAUCUUUGGACCUUGCGCGAUUGAAUGAGCCGAUGUCGGAUUAGCUAGUUGGCGGGGUAAAGGCCCACCCAGGCGACGAUCCGUAGCUGGUCUGAGAGGAAGAUCAGCCACACUGGAACGGAGACACGGUCCAGACGCCUACGGGAGGCAGCAGUGGGGAAUAUUGGAGAAUGGGGGCAAGCCUGAUCCAGCCAUGCCGCGUGGGUGAAGAAGGCCUUCGGGUUGUAAAGCCCUUUUGUUGGGAAAGAAAAGCAGCAGGUUUAUACCCCGCUGUUCUGACGGUACCCAAAGAAUAAGCACCGGCUAACUUCGUG
RNAcentral lists this ribosomal RNA (492 nucleotides) under uncultured bacterium. Its description in RNAcentral is "partial 16S ribosomal RNA". It matches the Rfam family "Bacterial small subunit ribosomal RNA", at positions 29 to 507 of the family's 1533-position model. The record is from RNAcentral.